UGGAGGAAAAGSUAGGGGAUCGCAAGACCUUGCGCUCUUGGAGCGGCCGAUGUCUGAUUAGCUAGUUGGUGAGGUAAAGGCUUACCAAGGCGACGAUCAGUAGCUGGUCUGAGAGGACGACCAGCCACACUGGGACUGAGACACGGCCCAGACUCCUACGGGAGGCAGCAGUGGGGAAUUUUGGACAAUGGGGGAAACCCUGAUCCAGCCAUGCCGCGUGAGUGAAGAAGGCCUUCGGGUUGUAAAGCUCUUUCAGCCGGAACGAAACGGUCACGGCUAAUACCUGUGACYACUGACGGUACCGGAAGAAGAAGCACCGGCUAACUACGUGCCAGCAGCCGCGGUAAUACGUAGGGUGCAAGCGUUAAUCGGAAUUACUGGGCGUAAAGCGUGCGCAGGCGGUUUUGUAAGUCAGAUGUGAAAUCCCCGGGCUUAACCUGGGAACUGCGUUUGAAACUACCAAAAGCUAGA
This 471-nucleotide ribosomal RNA is filed under the name uncultured beta proteobacterium. RNAcentral's name for it is "bacterial SSU rRNA". It matches the Rfam family "Bacterial small subunit ribosomal RNA", at positions 196 to 645 of the family's 1533-position model. Lineage: Bacteria; Pseudomonadati; Pseudomonadota; Betaproteobacteria. The record is from RNAcentral.